CUGUUCGGCCUCGUUUCAGGUGCCUGUGUGGCAAAUUUUAAUUGCAGACACGGGAUAAUCGGGAAACAGGUAAGGCACAUUUUGUGAUGCUAUUCCUGUACUGCCCCCGCAACGGUAUGAAGUGUUUGUCGUACACCAACGCUAUGAGCAGCUGUUGGUCAAUGCAGACGAAUUGGUUUUUCAACCACGGCAAGAUCACAACCAUUGUGAUGUGCCGGAAGGUAAACCCGGAAUGUUCACAACGUUCUGACUUUGAGUCCGGAGACCGGCCUGUAACAACAUGAUUUC
Non-coding RNA from Thalassolituus sp. HI0120, 288 nucleotides. The record is from Rfam. Lineage: Bacteria; Pseudomonadati; Pseudomonadota; Gammaproteobacteria; Oceanospirillales; Oceanospirillaceae.